Molecule: unclassified non-coding RNA, 305 nt
Filed under: plant metagenome
Description: partial contains 5.8S ribosomal RNA, internal transcribed spacer 2, and large subunit ribosomal RNA
Rfam family: 5.8S ribosomal RNA (bases 1-105)
Source: RNAcentral
GAAAUGCGAUAAGUAAUGUGAAUUGCAGAAUUCAGUGAAUCAUCGAAUCUUUGAACGCACAUUGCGCCCGCCAGUAUUCAGGCGGGCAUGCCUGUUCGAGCGUCAUUUCAACCAUCAAGCCCCCGGCUUGUGUUGGGGACCUGCGGCUGCCCGCAGGCCCUGAAAAACAGUGGCGGGCUCGCUGUCACACCGAGCGUAGUAGCAUACAUUCUCGCUCAGGGCGUGCUGCGGGUUCCGGCCGUUAAACGACCUUCAUAACCCAAGGUUGACCUCGGAUCAGGUAGGAAGACCCGCUGAACUUAAGC